CGCGGGGUGGAGCAGCUGGGUAGCUCGUCGGGCUCAUAACCCGAAGGGCGUCGGUUCAAAUCCGGCCCCCGCAACCA
This 77-nucleotide transfer RNA is filed under the name Vibrio parahaemolyticus. RNAcentral describes it as "tRNA-Met". It matches the Rfam family "tRNA". Rfam says of the family: Transfer RNA (tRNA) molecules are approximately 80 nucleotides in length. Their secondary structure includes four short double-helical elements and three loops (D, anti-codon, and T loops). Lineage: Bacteria; Pseudomonadati; Pseudomonadota; Gammaproteobacteria; Vibrionales; Vibrionaceae. The record is from RNAcentral.